UUUAAUUAAAAGAAAAUAGCUAGCUAUUUUCCCGAAGUAAGAAGAUUUAAUUAUUAUUGGGUUUUAGUCUCCAUAAAAUUAUAAUGUGGCAAAAUUAUUUCAAAAAUAAUAAUUAGGAGUGAAAGACUUUUCAAUUCUUACUGAUAUCUGGAUUAAACUUAAAAAUAUUUAGUAUUUAGGGCAACUCCAAAGUGCUAAGGUUUUGGGGAAAGAAAAAAUUAGCAUAUUUAAUGUGCUUCUUAUUAAAAUAAAAUAGCCUAAAAAACUUAAAUAAUUAUACUAGCUUCUUUUUUUCAAUAAUUUAGGUUUUUAAGUAUUUUAAUUUUCUGAUAAUUUAAAUAAUGUUAAAAUGAGUAUUCACGAUAAAAAAAAGGAAAGGAACUCGGCAAAAAAAAUUUUCAACUGUUUAUCAAAAACAUAGCUAGCAGAAUAACUUGUUAGUGAGCUCUGCCCAGUGAUUACUAUUUCAACGGCCGCAGUACACUGACUGUGCAAAGGUAGCAUAAUCAAUUGACUUUUAAUUGGAGUCCGGUAUGAAAGAGUUUUUGAAAAAAAGCUGUCUUUUCUUUUUUAUAGAGAACUUGCUGAGAAAGUGAAAAUUCUUUCGAUACAUUAAUAAAAGACGAGAAGACCCUAUGAAUUUUUACUAAUGGGCCUAUAAUCUUUAUGUUUUUGUUGGGGCAACAAGUCUACACAUUAACAAAAUUAGACUAAAAUAUUUAUUAAACCGAGUUAUAUUAAAAGAAAUUAAAUUACUAUAGGGAUAACAGCAUAAUUUUUUUAAUAAGAUUGUGACCUCGAUGUUGGAUUAGGAACUAUUUUGAUAAGUAAUUAAAAUAGAGGGUUCUGUUCGAACUUUUUUACCU
This 866-nucleotide ribosomal RNA is filed under the name Ruthenica filograna filograna. RNAcentral's name for it is "partial large subunit ribosomal RNA". Lineage: Eukaryota; Metazoa; Mollusca; Gastropoda; Stylommatophora; Clausiliidae. The record is from RNAcentral.